RNAcentral lists this transfer-messenger RNA (349 nucleotides) under Salmonella enterica subsp. enterica serovar Agona str. 12.A.06. Its description in RNAcentral is "transfer-messenger RNA Salmo_enter_ChoSCB". It matches the Rfam family "transfer-messenger RNA". From Rfam's summary of the family: Bacterial tmRNA, also known as 10Sa RNA or SsrA, is named for its dual tRNA and mRNA-like properties. Its role is to liberate the mRNA from a stalled ribosome. To accomplish this part of the tmRNA is used as a reading frame that ends in a translation stop signal. RNAcentral also lists the same sequence under 14 other names. Lineage: Bacteria; Pseudomonadati; Pseudomonadota; Gammaproteobacteria; Enterobacterales; Enterobacteriaceae. The record is from RNAcentral.
GGGGCUGAUUCUGGAUUCGACGGGAUUUGCGAAACCCAAGGUGCAUGCCGAGGGGCGGUUGGCCUCGUAAAAAGCCGCAAAAAAAUAGUCGCAAACGACGAAAACUACGCUUUAGCAGCUUAAUAACCUGCUUAGAGCCCUCUCUCCCUAGCCUCCGCUCUUAGGACGGGGAUCAAGAGAGGUCAAACCCAAAAGAGAUCGCGCGGAUGCCCUGCCUGGGGUUGAAGCGUUAAAACGAAUCAGGCUAGUCUGGUAGUGGCGUGUCCGUCCGCAGGUGCCAGGCGAAUGUAAAGACUGACUAAGCAUGUAGUACCGAGGAUGUAGGAAUUUCGGACGCGGGUUCAACUCC